This 283-nucleotide ribosomal RNA is filed under the name uncultured Exiguobacterium sp. RNAcentral's name for it is "partial 16S ribosomal RNA". It matches the Rfam family "Bacterial small subunit ribosomal RNA", at positions 1 to 267 of the family's 1533-position model. The record is from RNAcentral. Lineage: Bacteria; Bacillati; Bacillota; Bacilli; Caryophanales.
UAGUGAGUUUGAUCCUGGCUCAGAACGAACGCUGGCGGCGUGCAUAAUACAUGCAAGUCGAGCGCAGGAAGCUCACGGAACUCUUCGGAGGGAAGUGAAGGGAAUGAGCGGCGGACGGGUGAGUAACACGUAAGGAACCUGCCCCAAGGAUUGGGAUAACUCCGAGAAAUCGGAGCUAAUACCGAAUAGUUCUUCAGACCGCAUGGUCUGAUGAUGAAGGCGCUCCGGCGUCACCUUGGGAUGGCCUUGCGGUGCAUUAGCUAGUUGGUGGGGUAAUGGCCCA